Molecule: ribosomal RNA, 157 nt
Filed under: uncultured bacterium
Lineage: Bacteria
Description: partial 16S ribosomal RNA
Rfam family: Bacterial small subunit ribosomal RNA
Source: RNAcentral
CGUGUGAAAAACUCCGGUGGUAUGAGAUGGACCCGCGUCUGAUUAGCUAGUUGGUGGGGUAACGGCCUACCAAGGCGACGAUCAGUAGCCGACCUGAGAGGGUGACCGGCCACAUUGGGACUGAGACACGGCCCAAACUCCUACGGGAGGCAGCAUG